GACGAACGCUGGCGGCGUGCUUAACACAUGCAAGUCGAACGGAAAGGCCCUGCUUUUGUGGGGUGCUCGAGUGGCGAACGGGUGAGUAACACGUGAGUAACCUGCCCUUGACUUUGGGAUAACUUCAGGAAACUGGGGCUAAUACCGGAUAGGAGCUCCUGCUGCAUGGUGGGGGUUGGAAAGUUUCGGCGGUUGGGGAUGGACUCGCGGCUUAUCAGCUUGUUGGUGGGGUAGUGGCUGACCAAGGCUUUGACGGGUAGCCGGCCUGGGAGGGUGACCGGCCACAUUGGGACUGCGGUACGGCCCAGACUCCUACGGUAGGCAGCAGUGGGGAAUCUUGCACAAUGGGCGGAAGCCUGAUGCAGCAACGCCGCGUUCGGGAUGACGGCCUUCGGGUUGUAAACCGCUUUCGCCUGUGACGAAGCGUGAGUGACGGUAAUGGGUAAAGAAGCACCGGCUAACUACGUG
This 468-nucleotide ribosomal RNA is filed under the name uncultured bacterium. Its description in RNAcentral is "partial 16S ribosomal RNA". It matches the Rfam family "Bacterial small subunit ribosomal RNA", at positions 28 to 507 of the family's 1533-position model. The record is from RNAcentral.